RNAcentral lists this transfer RNA (71 nucleotides) under Stegodyphus mimosarum. It matches the Rfam family "tRNA". Rfam says of the family: Transfer RNA (tRNA) molecules are approximately 80 nucleotides in length. Their secondary structure includes four short double-helical elements and three loops (D, anti-codon, and T loops). Lineage: Eukaryota; Metazoa; Arthropoda; Arachnida; Araneae; Eresidae. The record is from Rfam by way of RNAcentral.
GCCUUCGUGGUGCAACGGUAGCACACUCGGCCCGUAUUCGAGCGGUCCAGGUUCGAGUCCCGGCGAAGGCG